CGGUAGCUCAGCGGUAGAGCAACCGACUGUUAAUCGGUAGGUCACAGGUUCGAAUCCUGUCC
This 62-nucleotide transfer RNA is filed under the name marine eukaryotic metagenome. It matches the Rfam family "tRNA", at positions 6 to 65 of the family's 71-position model. From Rfam's summary of the family: Transfer RNA (tRNA) molecules are approximately 80 nucleotides in length. Their secondary structure includes four short double-helical elements and three loops (D, anti-codon, and T loops). The record is from RNAcentral.